This 71-nucleotide transfer RNA is filed under the name Stegodyphus mimosarum. It matches the Rfam family "tRNA". From Rfam's summary of the family: Transfer RNA (tRNA) molecules are approximately 80 nucleotides in length. Their secondary structure includes four short double-helical elements and three loops (D, anti-codon, and T loops). The record is from Rfam by way of RNAcentral. Lineage: Eukaryota; Metazoa; Arthropoda; Arachnida; Araneae; Eresidae.
GCCUUCGUGGUGUAACGAUAGCAUACUCGGCCCAUAUUCGAGAGAUCCAGGUUCGAGCCUCGGUGACGGCA